AAGACCUGGGUGCCUCCCUGGGUGCCAACCAGCCUAACCAGCCAGGGCCACCAAGCAGAAGUGCUUCUGACAUUAACGCGACACACAGAAGGUGUGUAGGGUGGGUAGUGGAAGUGACCGCAGAGGCCUCUGGGGAUUGUAGUUUUGGAGCCAGAGAGGUGGGCAAGCAGUUGGCUUUGCCCACACGGGGUGCCUUGUCAUCUGCAUAGCGCACACAACCAAGCUUAGGAGCCAAGUGUUAAGAUGCCUAAGUGACACGGACAAGUUUGUCCUCUGCGACCCAGUGAGAUCUGCUCACCACAAGAGCAUCGCGGGACCGCCAAAGGAUUCUGGGAAAUGUGGUCCCGGAUGGCCAGUGUGUGCUGACCUUCACCUGAAGGUGCAGCUUGAAGGAAACUUCUGGAGGGUGGGCUGGUGUUGAAGAGAAGGCACAAUUAUAACCAUUUUGUUCAACAUGGGCGUUUUCUUUAUGCAUUGAUUUGCAUUUUAAAGGUAUUACAUUAAAAAUAUGUUUAUCUUGAUU
This 523-nucleotide long non-coding RNA is filed under the name Pongo abelii (Sumatran orangutan). RNAcentral describes it as "lincRNA". Lineage: Eukaryota; Metazoa; Chordata; Mammalia; Primates; Hominidae. The record is from RNAcentral.